This 301-nucleotide ribosomal RNA is filed under the name uncultured bacterium. RNAcentral's name for it is "partial 16S ribosomal RNA". It matches the Rfam family "Bacterial small subunit ribosomal RNA", at positions 509 to 807 of the family's 1533-position model. The record is from RNAcentral.
CAGUCGCCGCGGUAAAACGAAGGGUGCAAGCGUUAAUCGGAAUUACUGGGCGUAAAGCGUGCGUAGGCGGUGAGUUAAGUCUGCUGUGAAAUCCCCGGGCUCAACCUGGGAAUGGCAGUGGAUACUGGCUCGCUAGAGUGUGUCAGAGGAUGGUGGAAUUCCCGGUGUAGCGGUGAAAUGCGUAGAGAUCGGGAGGAACAUCAGUGGCGAAGGCGGCCAUCUGGGACAACACUGACGCUCAUGCACGAAAGCGUGGGGAGCAAACAGGAUUAGAGACCCGCGUAGUCCCUGUCUCUUAUAC